AUACGGAGGAUGCGAGCGUUAUCCGGAUUUAUUGGGUUUAAAGGGUGCGUAGGCGGUCGGGUAAGCGUAGGGUGAAAGUCCUCUGCUCAACAGAGGAAGUGCCUUCCGAACUGUCCGACUGGAAUGCUCCUGCCGUGGGAGGAAUGUGUGGUGUAGCGGUGAAAUGCAUAGAGAUCUCACAGAACACCGAUUGCGAAGGCAUCUCACGAAGGGGCUAUUGACGCUGAGGCACGAAAGCGUGGGGAUCAAACAGGAUUAGAUACCCUGGUAGUCCACGCAGUAAACGAUGAUGACUAACCGUCGGUCAAGACUGAUCGGUGGCCAAGCGAAAGCGAUAAGUCAUCCACCUGGGGAGUACGACCGCAAGGUUGAAACUUAAAGGAAUUGACGGGG
RNAcentral lists this ribosomal RNA (393 nucleotides) under uncultured bacterium. RNAcentral describes it as "partial 16S ribosomal RNA". It matches the Rfam family "Bacterial small subunit ribosomal RNA", at positions 523 to 918 of the family's 1533-position model. The record is from RNAcentral.